AUGAACGCUGGCGGCGUGCCUAAUACAUGCAAGUCGAGCGAACAGACGAGGAGCUUGCUCCUCUGACGUUAGCGGCGGACGGGGGAGUAACACGUGGAUAACCUACCUAUAAGACUGGGAUAACUUCGGGAAACCGGAGCUAAUACCGGAUAAUAUAUUGAACCGCAUGGUUCAAUAGUGAAAGACGGUUUUGCUGUCACUUAUAGAUGGAUCCGCGCCGCAUUAGCUAGUUGGUAAGGUAACGGCUUACCAAGGCAACGAUGCGUAGCCGACCUGAGAGGCGGGUCGGCCACCCUGGAACUGAGACACGGUCCAGACUCCUACGGGAGGCAGCAGUAGGGAAUCUUCCGCAAUGGGCGAAAGCCUGACGGAGCAACGCCGCGUGAGUGAUGACGGUCUUCGGAUCGUAAAACUCUGUUAUUAGGGAAGAACAAAUGUGUAAGUAACUAUGCACGUCUUGACGGUACCUAAUCAGAAAGCCACGGCUAACUACGUG
This 496-nucleotide ribosomal RNA is filed under the name uncultured bacterium. RNAcentral's name for it is "partial 16S ribosomal RNA". It matches the Rfam family "Bacterial small subunit ribosomal RNA", at positions 29 to 507 of the family's 1533-position model. The record is from RNAcentral.